GAUGAAGAACGUAGCGAAAUGCGAUAAGUAAUGUGAAUUGCAGAAUUCAGUGAAUCAUCGAAUCUUUGAACGCACAUUGAGCCCGCCAGUAUUCUGGCGGGCAUGCCUGUUCGAGCGUCAUUUCAACCCUCAGGCCCCCAGUGCCUGGUGUUGGGGAUCGGCCCAGCCUUCCUGUAAGGCCGCCGGCCCCGAAAUCUAGUGGCGGUCUCGCUGUAGUCCUCCUCUGCGUAGUAGCACAACCUCGCAGUUGGAACGCGGCGGUGGCCAUGCCGUUAAACACCCCACUUCUGAAAGUUGACCUCGGAUCAGGUAGGAAUACCCGCUGAACUUAAGCAUAUCAAUAAGCGGAGGA
RNAcentral lists this unclassified non-coding RNA (352 nucleotides) under soil metagenome. Its description in RNAcentral is "partial contains 5.8S ribosomal RNA, internal transcribed spacer 2, and large subunit ribosomal RNA". The stretch from base 1 to 120 matches the Rfam family "5.8S ribosomal RNA", at positions 35 to 154 of the family's 154-position model. The record is from RNAcentral.